CCCUUAGACGUUCUGGGCCGCACGCGCGCUACACUGACGGAGCCAGCGAGUAUAAACCUUGGCCGAGAGGUCUGGGGAAUCUUGUGAAACUCCGUCGUGCUGGGGAUAGAGCAUUGUAAUUAUUGCUCUUCAACGAGGAAUUCCUAGUAAGCGCAAGUCAUCAGCUUGCGUUGAUUACGUCCCUGCCCUUUGUACACACCGCCCGUCGCUACUACCGAUUGAAUGGCUUAGUGAGGCUUCCGGAUUGGUUUAGAGAAGGGGGCAACUCCAUCUUGGAACCGAGAAGCUAGUCAAACUUGGUCAUUUAGAGGAAGUAAAAGUCGUAACA
RNAcentral lists this ribosomal RNA (328 nucleotides) under uncultured eukaryote. RNAcentral's name for it is "partial 18S ribosomal RNA". It matches the Rfam family "Eukaryotic small subunit ribosomal RNA", at positions 1470 to 1796 of the family's 1831-position model. The record is from RNAcentral.